Molecule: non-coding RNA, 357 nt
Organism: Cyprinus carpio (common carp)
Lineage: Eukaryota; Metazoa; Chordata; Actinopteri; Cypriniformes; Cyprinidae
Source: the annotation of a RefSeq genome assembly
GUGAACACUUGUACAAUGGAUCUUCAUUCAGUUAUUCUGUUUUGUGCCUCAGCAGCUGCGGUCUUUGGAAAUGUCAUCAAACCAAACAACACCGAUGUUGUUUAUAAGGAGGGUUCAAGUGUUACAUUAUUCUGUAGUCAUUCACCUGCAGCUAACGAUUAUAUCCACUGGUACCGUCAGUAUGAAAGAUCAAAACCUGAAUUUCUUGUACUCAUCUACAGUAGUGCAAAAGAAGCUGAGGUGUCUGAUGUAGAUCCAAGAUUCUUUGUUAAUGUUGAAAAAAGGGAGAAAAUCCAUGUGGAUCUGAAGAUCACCACUGCUGCUGUAUCAGACUCUGCUCUGUACUAUUGUGCUCUG